AUUGAACGCUGGCGGCAGGCCUAACACAUGCAAGUCGAGCGGAGCGGCGGACGGGCGAGUAAUGCCUAGGAAUGUGCCUGGCAGUGGGGGAUAAAGUCCGGAAACGGGCGAUAAUAACGCCUUCUAUCAGUUGAGCCAAGGUGGGAGUAGCUAGUUGGUGGGGUAAGGGCCUACCAAGGCGCCGAGCCGUAACUGGUCUGAGAGGAUGGUCAGUCACAGUGGAACUGAGAGACGGUCCAGAGUCCUACGGUAGGCAGCAGUGGGGAAUAUGGAACAAUGGGCGAAAGCCUGAUGCAGCCAUGCCGAGUGUGUGAAGAAGGGUUUCGGAUUGUAAAGCACUUUAAGUUGGGAGGCGUUACCAACAGAAUAAGCACCGGCUAACUUCGUGCCAGCAGCCGCGGUAAUAC
Molecule: ribosomal RNA, 407 nt
Filed under: uncultured bacterium
Lineage: Bacteria
Description: partial 16S ribosomal RNA
Rfam family: Bacterial small subunit ribosomal RNA
Source: RNAcentral